CUUUUCUGAGUGGUAAGCUGUCCUCCAGCUUCUUUGUGGCACUUUUUUCAUUAUUAUCUAACCAGGAGCUACAUGGGUAAGAGAUGCGAGCUACCGAUGUUGCGCCCCUGGAGCUACAAGUGUGGCGCAAUCAACAGGAGAGCUCUGCCUUUGAUCGGGAGAUUAAGCCUGAUCACGCAGCAAACUGCUCCCGCGUUCUCCCUGCUGCUGCGAGCUUCCGCGAGGAUGAAAGGAGCCGCACCGCUAUCACCUCAGUGAUGCUUCUGUCAGGCGGUGAUUUACUCUGCCGGCACCCUGGCUGUGAAACGGGGAUAGGCAAAUCUCCGGACUGAAGACAAGGGCCACUGUCUUUUUCCUAAGGCUGAGAGGAAGUGACUGACUCAAUCUAACGCAUCUCACUUCAUGCAUAAAUCAGGAUCAGAACUCAUGGUAUUCCAGUUUCUCACAAUUUUUAGCCUGAUACAUUCAUUUUUACACUAGUCUGAUUUAUCCAAUCUGUUUUAUCUAUAAAUACAUAUAUAUGUUCCGAAAACAUGAUUAAAAGAAUAAUCUUUAUCUCUUACAAAAGGACGUCUCUUUUAAAUAGAUAGGCCAUAGUUUAAUAGUAAACAAUUUGCACAUGUUUUGUGUGUGGAAAAUACUACAUUACAAUAUCGAUUUCAGAUUAACAAUCUACUAGUUGAGCACAGACUUCAGUUAACCUAGAAGUAGUAAAUAGUGCAGUCUUAGGUAUGUUCAAAAUUCAGAUUUGUUUAAAUACAUAGAAUUCUAUCUCAAAAAAAUAGAAGUA
This is a long non-coding RNA of Thamnophis elegans (Western terrestrial garter snake), 790 nucleotides long. RefSeq lists it as uncharacterized. The transcript has 3 exons. The record is from RefSeq and is a predicted model, not a curated record. Lineage: Eukaryota; Metazoa; Chordata; Lepidosauria; Squamata; Natricidae.